UUCGCUCUUCAACGAGGAAUCCCUAGUAAGCACAAGUCACCAGCUUGUGCUGAUUACGUCCCUGCCCUUUGUACACACCGCCCGUCGCUACUACCGAUUGAAUGGCUUAGUGAGGCCCUCGGAUCGACUUUCUGAGACUGGCAACAGUCUCUGAUUGUUGAGAAGUUGGUCAAACUUGGUCAUUUAGAGGAAGUAAAAGUCGUAACAAGGUUUCCGUAGGUGAACCUGCGGAAGGAUCAUUAAUGAUUUGGCGAACCUAACGUUAGUUAGGUUUUGCGAUCACUUAUUUAAAACCCAACUCUUAAAUGUAUAAUUUAUGUAUUUCUUGAUAAGAAAAAUAAAGAUCACUUUCAACAACGGAUCUCUUGGCUCUCGCAUCGAUGAAGAACGUAGCGAAGUGCGAUAAGUAAUGUGAAUUGCGGAAUUCCGUGAAUCAUCGAAUCUUUGAACGCAAAUUGCACUUUCUGGUAUUCCGGAAAGUAUGCCUGUUUGAGGGUCAGUUAAAUAAAAAUCGGUGUUAUUGCUAUUAAUGGUGAUGCAUCGGAAUUGAGUCGUCUUUACCUUUGGUUUUUAAGUGACUUAAAAUUAUGUACGAUUUUUGAACGUAUUUAAAUUAUUUACUUACGUUCAUAAUAUCACAUAUUAGGUGCGGUCAUCCACAUGAUUUCGCGUCUAUAAUUUUUUCAUUAUUUGACCUCAAAUCAGGUAAGAAUACCCGCUGAACUUAAGCAUAUCAAUAAGCGGAGGAAAAGAAAAUAACAAUGAUUCCCUUAGUAACGGCGAGUGAAGGGGGAUAAGCUCAAAUUUUAAAUCUGCUAGGUUUUACCUAUCAGAGUUGUAAUUUGAAGAAGCGUUUUCCGCGUCUCGGUUGACCCAAAUCCUUUGGGAUAUGGUAUCAUGGAGGUGAGAAUCCCGUCCGUUGACUUUGUGACGCUUUACGAUACGUUUUCAAAGAGUCGAGUUGUUUGGGAUUGCAGCUCAAAAUGGGAGGUAAAUUUCUCCUAAGGCUAAAUACCGGCGAGAGACCGAUAGCGAACAAGUACCGUGAGGGAAAGAUGAAAAGAACUUUGAAAAGAGAGUUAAACAGUACGUGAAAUUGUUGAAAGGGAAACGAUUGAAGCCAGUCGUUCUGACGGAAAAUCAACUUUUCGGGUGCCUAUCGUGGGUGACGUUGAGCCUCACGGUCUUCGUUGCUUGUGUUUGUUGGUACCUUUGGAGUGCACUUUUUCGUAUGGUAGGUCAACAUCGAUUUUAAUCGUCAUAAAAUGAUCGGAGGAAUGUGGCUUCGAUUUCGAUUGGAGUGUUAUAGCCUUUGGUAGAUGUGACGAUUGGGAUCGAGGAUUGCAACGAAUACCCUUUGGGCUAUCCGUCUGGCCUCUGAAAGUCGCUUGGGUGCUGAAAGCUUUGCUUAUAGUAUUCAAGUUGGCGGUCAACAGGUUAGAACGUGAUUACAUUCGUUAAGGAUGUUGACGUAAUGGCUUUAAACGACCCGUCUUGAAACACGGACCAAGGAGUCUAACAUAUGUGCGAGUGUU
Molecule: ribosomal RNA, 1535 nt
Filed under: uncultured Glomus
Lineage: Eukaryota; Fungi; Glomeromycota; Glomeromycetes; Glomerales; Glomeraceae
Description: eukaryotic LSU rRNA
Rfam family: Eukaryotic large subunit ribosomal RNA (bases 692-1535)
Source: RNAcentral